CCUACGGGUGGCUUCCUUGGGGAAUAUUGGACAAUGGGCGAAAGCCUGAUCCAGCCAUGCCGCGUGUGUGAAGAAGGCCUUCGGGUUGUAAAGCACUUUCAGUGGGGAAGAAAGCCUUGUGGCUAAUACGCUCGAGGAAGGACAUCACCCAUAGCCGAAGCACCGGCUAACUCCGUGCCAGCAGCCGCGGUAAUACGGAGGGUGCGAGCGUUAAUCGGAAUUACUGGGCGUAAAGCGCGCGUAGGCGGUCUGAUAAGCCGGUUGUGAAAGCCCCGGGCUCAACCUGGGAACGGCAUCCGGAACUGUCAGGCUAGAGUGCAGUAGAGGAAGGUAGAAUUCCCGGUGUAGCGGUGAAAUGCGUAGAGAUCGGGAGGAAUACCAGUGGCGAAGGCGGCCCUCUGGACUGACACUGACGCUGAGGUGCGAAAGCGUGGGUAGCAAACAGGAUUAGAUACCCGAGUAGUC
RNAcentral lists this ribosomal RNA (465 nucleotides) under Vreelandella stevensii. RNAcentral's name for it is "partial 16S ribosomal RNA". It matches the Rfam family "Bacterial small subunit ribosomal RNA", at positions 338 to 795 of the family's 1533-position model. Lineage: Bacteria; Pseudomonadati; Pseudomonadota; Gammaproteobacteria; Oceanospirillales; Halomonadaceae. The record is from RNAcentral.